Molecule: long non-coding RNA, 482 nt
Organism: Brassica oleracea var. oleracea
Lineage: Eukaryota; Viridiplantae; Streptophyta; Magnoliopsida; Brassicales; Brassicaceae
Exons: 3
Source: RefSeq, a predicted model, not a curated record
UUCCAACGAGGAGACACACAAAGUACACAACGCAUCAUGGUAACCCUCAAAAUUAAAAGGAAUCCAGUGUGUGCUUUGGCGUCUUUGACGGCAUAUCUAAGCUCCUUCUCGAUUAUAAGUUGGAAGCCUCUGGUGUAGAACCAAAGGUGGUGAUAGCCACAAACAUAAACCCUAAGUUAGUUGGAGGUAUAUGGAUUAGCAAACUUGCUCAGUAAUCAGUAAUGACAAAGUUGUAGGGUCUGCUUUUUUCCACGUCGGCUGUUCCUAAAGAAGCUCUCUUCGCGUGAAAAGCAUUGACAGGAACGAAAGAGGAUGCACUGGUGAUGCAUUGUUGAGGAUCAGACAGCAGCAACAUAUAUCCCAAAUCAGACAACUCUAGCUGAUAGAGACACUGGUGAGGAUGAUUUAGCUGAGGCGGAAGAGCGUUCCGCGCAAGAAGAUGCGUAACGAGUAACGACCUACAGAUCGUGAGAAAGUGUUAG